UUGUCACAAUUCUCAAAAGUAAAAGUAUUUUUUUAGAUUUAUCAUUAAAAAUAUAAAUGUAAAUCAUAACAAUACGUUAGUAUGGUUUAAUGUAAAUUAUUAUAGUGUUUUAUUCUUUAUAAAGUCAACAUGGAUACGGAAAACGAAGAAUCAAAUGAAUCUUGGUUAGUAGUUCCAAAUAAAAUUGAUGAAAACGUCAAAUCUGAUGAAGGAAGUAAUGGUAUUCAAAAGAAAGAUGCAAUAAUAAACGCUGCAGAAGCAUCAGAACUUAGUUUUGAGAAAAUUCCAGAGUCUGAUGAAGAACGUAUCAAACGAAUACAAAUAGAAAGGGCACUAGAAGACAGUUCAUCUAAUUUGGAAACAUGGAGGAAAUUUGCAAUAUCUACACAUGGCCUCAUUAGUGAUGAUUUGCGGAGAAGAGUGUGGCCCCUCUUGCUUGGUGUUGUACCUGCUCUAGCAGCACCUGUUCCUACUUUAGAAGAACUGCAAUCUCAUCCUGAAUAUACACAAGUUGUGCUUGAUGUAAAUAGAUCACUGAAACGAUUUCCUCCAGGUAUACCUUAUGAGCAGAGAGUAGCUUUACAAGAUCAAUUAACUGUGUUAAUUCUUCGAGUUAUAACAAAAUAUCCACAUUUGAAAUAUUAUCAGGGUUACCAUGAUGUUGCUGUGACCUGUUUACUUGUUGUGGGGGAUCGUGUUGCUUUUCAUAUGAUGGAAGUACUCUCAACAGGUCAUUUAGAAGAAUGCAUGGGCCCCACUAUGGAGCCUACACAGCGACGUUUGAUGUAUAUAUAUCCUAUAAUCAAUAAAGAACAUCCACAGUUAUGUGAAUUCCUUGAAAGGUCCACUGUGGGAACAAUGUUUGCAUUACCGUGGUAUUUGACAUGGUUUGGUCACAGUUUACCUUAUUAUAGAACGGUUGUGAGACUGUUUGAUUAUUUUUUGGCGUCAACACCAUUAUUUCCAUUAUAUGUUGCAGCUGCUAUUGUACUUCACAGAGUGGAUGAAAUCUUUGAACAAGAUUGUGACAUGGCUAGCCUGCAUUGUCUACUUUCAAAUUUACCAGAUGAUUUACCUUUUGAAAAACUCCUCAUUUCUGCUGCAAAGCUAUAUGAAAAAUAUCCACCAGAAGAGCUUGAAAAAGAUGUGCAAAUAAUGAUGGAUAAAGAGCGUGAUCAACGAUUGAAAGAACAGCAAGCCAGACUGAACCGUUUAAAAUACACAGAUCCCCGUCAUAAAGGAACAGUUAAUCGUUGGUGGGGUUCCUUUAGAGGUCCAAUGAAAUAUUUAUUAGUAUCAGCAAGCAUUUUGAUGGGAAUCUAUGCUUAUUAUAGAAGUCAGGAUACUAUUAAUAGGAGGCGCACCAUGGACAAAGCCCACAUUCUUGAAAUAUCUGCCAAUUACAAUGUUUUCUAGCAGUUUGCGUGUUUGAAUCAUGGCAUGUUUUAUAACUUGAGUCACAUGUUUAUCGAAUGUAAUGUGCCUGAGGAUAUUUAUGUUGCAAGAAAAUUGAGAAAUAUUCGGUUGAUGACAACAAAUGCUAAACGGCGAAUAGAAAUAAUUAAACAGAACUUAAUUUAAAUGAGAGUAAGUCUUUGUGAUGAUUUUCUUGGGUG
This is an RNA transcript of Ctenocephalides felis (cat flea), 1616 nucleotides long. It is a transcript of the gene named TBC1 domain family member 20, with no coding region annotated. The transcript is spliced from 9 exons. The record is from RefSeq and is a predicted model, not a curated record. NCBI's taxonomy places the organism in Eukaryota, Metazoa, Arthropoda, Insecta, Siphonaptera, Pulicidae.